Labrus mixtus (cuckoo wrasse) is the source of this 235-nucleotide long non-coding RNA. RefSeq lists it as uncharacterized. The record is from RefSeq and is a predicted model, not a curated record. NCBI's taxonomy places the organism in Eukaryota, Metazoa, Chordata, Actinopteri, Labriformes, Labridae. The transcript is spliced from 2 exons.
GUUUAAAAGCUGUGACUAUCUGUAGGAAGCUUCUGACAAACUCAUUUUCAGAGUUUCUUCAUAGUCAACUUGUUUUAAGUCUGUAUCAUCAUUAGCAGCAGUUAACUUUGAAGACAAAACUGACCCGGAAGUGAAUAUCUGGUCCUUCUGUCUCAUUGGUGUCCUUUAAAAGUUCAAGAGAUCGUCCACACGAAAAGCAAAACUGACUAAUCUGGCUCAAAUGAGUUCCACAAAA